AUUGAACGCUGGCGGCAGGCCUAACACAUGCAAGUCGAGCGAGGGGCGGACGGGUGAGUAAUACCUGGCAAUUGCCCAGUCGAGGGUGAUAAAAGUUGGAAACGACUCCUAAUACUGCAUACGAUUCUAUUGCCCAGGUGGGAUUAGCUAGUUGGUGGGGUAAUGGCUCACCAAGGCGACGAUCCCUAGCUGGUCUGAGAGGAUGAUCAGCCACACUGGAACUGAGACACGGUCCAGACUCCUACGGGAGGCAGCAGUGGGGAAUAUUGGACAAUGGGGGAAACCCUGAUGCAGCCAUGCCGCGUGUGUGAAGAAGGCCUUCGGGUUGUAAAGCACUUUCAGCGAGGAGGCGUUACUAGCAGAAGAAGCACCGGCUAACUCCGUGCCAGCAGCCGCGGUAAUUC
This 404-nucleotide ribosomal RNA is filed under the name uncultured bacterium. RNAcentral describes it as "partial 16S ribosomal RNA". It matches the Rfam family "Bacterial small subunit ribosomal RNA", at positions 30 to 526 of the family's 1533-position model. The record is from RNAcentral.